AGGCACACCGGGGGCGUUUGUUUCCUCACGCCACACAGCCCCGGCGGGGAACGGGAUUCUGUGGUUGCCGGCCGCCUCCGUGCGCCUUCAGAGUGCGCUUCGGGAAAUCCGUGAAACGUCCCCUUGACCUUCUACAGAAUUUUAUAGAGAAUUUUAAAUCUCUUGUCGUUGAACAGUUUAAUAUCUGCAGAGGGCGGGAUGCGUGUCCUGGGAGAGCAGCACCCUAGGCUGCGCCUGUUCGUAUGGGCUCACUGCACAUCCCCAGCGGCCGCCACGUCAGGCAAGGACACCGAGCGAGGCAGAGGCUGGGACGGCUCAGGCGAGGGGGUCUGGCACCCCUGGGUGGAUGUGGCAUCCUUUGUUGAACCACUACACUCAACCCCAAACAACCCCGUGUAGUACCUGCUCGGUUAGUAACGGGGAUACAGGGUACUCUGCAUGGGGAAAAAAAAAAAAAAAACCACAACAAAACCCCUUCAGCUUUUUGUUUCACGAGGUAUAAUUACACAGAGUUAAGUAAUGCCGGAAUUGUAUGCUGUGAGAAACGUGAGAUGAUUAAUUCAUGUUCUUACGGUAAAUUGGAAAAUUAUAACGCUAUAUAAAUUUAUAUCAGGUAAAAGUCUAUGUUUUAGGAGGUUUCUGCAGCAGAUGGUGAAACUGUCCACCCUGAAAAUCUGGCGUCUCCAUUCAGAAGGGAACAAAAGACUUUGCAGCUUUCUCAAGUAUUGGGAGAGGACCUGUUGAGAUAAGCCUGUAUCAGCAACUCACACCUCGGGAACCACCUUCACAGACCAUCAAGCAAUAUCGCCCAUAUCUCGAACAUUCAUCAGCUAUAAGGAUCCAGAGAAACUGAACAUUAACACAUGGACUUGGGACGGGAGCUCUUUUCAAUCCGACCGGAGACGAAUUUGGGUUUGAAUAGCUAACCAAGAAACAAAGGGAAAUAUGGGGAAAUAUUGCCAGAGGCAGAAUAAAGAGUAUAAAAACCAAGCCUCGAACAUGGCAAAUUCGUGUACCCAGCUAGAGACACAGACGGCCAGGGUCUGUGUCUAAGGGUCACCCUUGGCUCUUUUUCCCGGGAGAAACUCUGUCAAGCACCACCCCAGAAGCUCACAUUCAGAAAUAGACAAAAGGUUUACGGGGAAAACCGGCAGGCUCCUUAAGCACUGGGAAGAGACCCAUCAAGAUAAGCGGCAGGACCAUCAACAUCACCAGCCGACACCCUCACCGAGCAUCAAGCAUCAUCAUCCAUAUCUCAGACCAUUAAUCAGCCAGGAAAUCUGCCGACACCUUACCGGAGAGAGGGGACUUCAGCUGAGCCGGAGACACCCAUGAAUUUGAAUAGCUAGCUUGGACGCAAAGGGGAAAAUGAGGAAAUAUUGCCAAGGGCAGAAUAAAGUUUUUAAAACCAAGCCCCGAACCGGGCAAAUUUGUGAACCUAGGGGGAGACAGCAACGGCCAUGUUGUGUCUCACAGUUCACCCUUGGCAGUUUCCCGGGAAAAAGACUGUCAAGUAUCUCCGCUGUUGGUGGGUUUACCAAAAUUCUGUAAUUCGAUCUUUUGAUUAAUAAACCAAAUUAUUUUAAUUGGAAUAUUGUAUUGGCAUUUAUAACAAAAAUAACAAGGAUCGUUGUGGGAUUGCAUUUUAUUGAAAUGGCUCACCCCUGGAAAAUGUAUGGUUUAUCCCCAGUCUGUACCCUCCCUGCAGUAUCGUGUGUCUGUAACUCUAUUGGCUGGAGAAUGUUACCGCGCCCACCUUGAACCUCGGUGUUAAGGGUGCAAACGCAGAGGGCUCCUCCUCUUUUGCCCUGGUGGUCUCCGGAGACUGCUCUCUCCCCUUCCCUCUCGCCUUCUCCCUCAGUGAAUAAACCCUCAUCCCAUCAAUAAACCCUCAUCCCAUCAGCACCUCAGCAGCCGUCUGGAGUCUCUUUGCCUGCCAGCAUGCGAACAGCCACGACCCUAGGACCCGGCUGGCUCCCGGGGAACCCUCCCCGAGAUCCCCCCCAAAAUUUAAACUACAACAGAUCGUAUCUCAAAGCACUACACUUUUCUUCCCUCUCCAAGUAAGGCAUGUGAGAGAGGGUGCAGUCAUUAACAUUCCCUGUGAAUGUAAUCCAACCAGCCAUGCUCAUUGUUCUAUUUGCAGGUGUUACUUGACCUACACUGUCGUGGCCUUUCCUUCCCUCAGAGAUUUCUAUUAAAAAAAGACAAGACUUGCAUUCUUCAAGGUUUGAUAUUCAUAAUUAAUCCCUGAAAGAUUCUAAGGACCCUCCAAGGAUCUCCAGUGUUAUCAACAUGACAUCCAGACAUAUGAGCAUGAGUGAAGGAAGAGUUUACAAAUUUGACCAAUAUUUUAAACUCUUGUGUUUUAAGCUCCACGGGCACACUGUCCCAUGUAUUUACUGCUAAAGGCUCUCAGAGAACCCACUUAAUUGCAACAAAAACCAGACAGCAAUUCUCACCCUGGUGCACGUCACUGAGACUGAAGAUACAUUGGCAGCUAUAGCCAGUAAAUUAAAAAAAAAAAAAAGGUAAGGCACUGAAAAAUAUUACAAGGUAAAGACAGAAAAAUACUUCUUUUUUAAUUUUAAGCACAGCCCAAAAAGCAGCCUUUCCCAUUUGGAAAAAACAGGAAUUAUGAAUGAAGCAGAAUACAUUUGCACUUCAAGUGACAAACACAGUUUAAAAAUCAAAAUAUUUUAAUAACCAGUAAUUAUGAGACAUCCCUUUGCUCAUUUACUCUAUCUUGGACUAGCAGCUACACUACAGCUGAAAGCCAGUUUAACAUGUUCUGCAAGUUUUCAAGGGUAAUUACCCUUAUUCUGUAACUCCAGCAACAUGAAUACAACACUGUAAACAAAAUCUUAAAAGGUACUAUUUGAAAGCCAUGUUCUGCCAGGCUGGUACUAUACAAAUAAAUUAUUAUAUGGAGUUAUAGAGAGCUAGCACACUGGAAAUGCUGCCUCAUUCCACAGUUUAUCCCGACUUACACAUUUAAACUCUUAGGUUACACAAGUAAUUACAUACAACCAGUCAUGUAAUUAUGUGAUAAAUUAAUAGUUUUGUUUUAAGUUGACUGUAGAUUAAGCUAUUGGACCAUGCAUUUUUGUAAUAAAUAUGCAAUUUCAGAAAUACAACUAAUUUAAAACUGCAUUUACACUUAAUGAUGUCUUUUCAUCCAGAUUAAAAAAAAUAAAUGUAUGCUCAAGAAAACCAAAUCUCUUAUUAAAUGGUUGGCAGAAUUUAUUAGGUCUUUUUUAAUAUAUUCCAUACUUUAUCAAGCUAGUUGCAUAUAAAGUGAUCUCCACCAUAUACAUUAUGGUUUCUGUGCAUCAUCUAAAAAAAAAAGUCACCAAAAAGUAGUAUUUUACAGGUUGCAGUUAACUUUUAAUUAACCUAAAGGUGAAUCCUUCUGUAAGUUAAAACACUAACCUGCACAUUGCAUCUAACUGCAAUAUUUAAAUUGUUUCACAGCAAGCUAAACCUGCAUUUGAGGGAAAAAUGUCACUGCCAUCUCAGCUUCUGAACUUCUAUAGUUUACAUUCUUAACACCGCAAAAAAUUCAUGUGGUGUUCACUCCAAAUAAGCAAAAAGUAAAGAAUUCCCUUAAAAGAAAGCCUGUUCAGAAUACGUGUGCUUUAAAAAAAUUAGGACAUUCCUCCAGUAAAAGGAAUUCACCCCAGUAAAAGGAAGUCAC
Molecule: long non-coding RNA, 3697 nt
Organism: Prinia subflava (tawny-flanked prinia)
Lineage: Eukaryota; Metazoa; Chordata; Aves; Passeriformes; Cisticolidae
Exons: 2
Source: RefSeq, a predicted model, not a curated record